GGCGCCCCAGCCCCCUCCCCUCGGAUGUGACUGGAGCUGGAAGCCCGCGGGCCGUAGACGCUGCUGCUGCUGCAGGAUCGCGACCCGGAGCAUCUGAGGUGGUGAAUAAUAGCUCUUCAAGUCUACAAUUAAAAAUGGCCUCUAACAAAACUACAUUGCAAAAAAUGGGAAAGAAACAAAAUGGAAAGAGUAAAAAAGUUGAAGAAGCAGAGCCUGAAGAAUUUGUUGUGGAAAAAGUACUGGACCGACGUGUAGUGAAUGGGAAAGUAGAAUAUUUCCUGAAGUGGAAAGGAUUUACAGAGUAAGAAACUUGUCUUUUCCUUUA
This is a long non-coding RNA of Dipodomys ordii (Ord's kangaroo rat), 325 nucleotides long. RefSeq lists it as uncharacterized. The record is from RefSeq and is a predicted model, not a curated record. The transcript is spliced from 3 exons. NCBI's taxonomy places the organism in Eukaryota, Metazoa, Chordata, Mammalia, Rodentia, Heteromyidae.